GGAUGCAAGAGAGAAAAAGGAGAGGACGAAGACAAUGACGUUAUGAGAAACCACAAUGCAAUGCCGCAAGAGAUAAAAAGUAGAGGUGCGCAACCGAGUAAAAGAAGAGGAGAAGCAGAGAAAAAGGAGAAGAGACGAAGACACGAUCAGAAACUGAAUGACGAUAAGAGUCUGCGGUCUAUUUAAAAUGAAAUGGGACGUCGAUUGCUCCAGAAACCGACGUCUAUAAACGUCGAUGUUUGAGGGGAUUUGACGUCUAUUCUACGUCAAAGAAGCUGAAAAGAUUGACGUUUGAUUUCCUGUCAGGGUAGUUCAUGUCGGUGCCCCUCCC
Molecule: long non-coding RNA, 331 nt
Filed under: Vigna radiata
Lineage: Eukaryota; Viridiplantae; Streptophyta; Magnoliopsida; Fabales; Fabaceae
Description: long non-coding RNA (VRAD_LNC007600)
Source: RNAcentral